This 373-nucleotide ribosomal RNA is filed under the name uncultured organism. RNAcentral's name for it is "partial 16S ribosomal RNA". It matches the Rfam family "Bacterial small subunit ribosomal RNA", at positions 527 to 896 of the family's 1533-position model. The record is from RNAcentral.
GUAGGUGGCAAGCGUUGUCCGGAAUUAUUGGGCGUAAAGCGCGCGCAGGCGGGUUCUUUAAGUCUGAUGUGAAAGCCCACGGGCUCAACCGUGGAGGGUCAUUGGAAACUGGAGAACUUGAGUACAGAAGAGGAAAGCGGAAUUCCACGUGUAGCGGUGAAAUACGUAGAGAUGUGGAGGAACACCAGUGGCGAAGGCGGCUUUCUGGUCUGUAACUGACGCUGAGGCGCGAAAGCGUGGGGAGCAAACAGGAUUAGAUACCCUGGUAGUCCACGCCGUAAACGAUGAGUGCUAAGUGUUAGGGGGUUUCCGCCCCUUAGUGCUGCAGCUAACGCAUUAAGCACUCCGCCUGGGGAGUACGGCCGCAAGGCUG